UCUUCUCUGAAUAGUUCUUUCAAUUUCUAAAUCAAAGUGAGCAAGAAAGUUUGAGUUGCUUCGGGUCAUAAAACAUCUAAAAUGAAGUUGAAGAAUUAACAACAAAGAAAAAAUAUUUAGUGAGUACUAAAUAUUAUAUAAAGAAAACAAAAUGCAAAAAACAAAAAUAAAAAUAAACAUUAAACAAGUUCCAUCCUCG
This 199-nucleotide long non-coding RNA is filed under the name Gossypium raimondii (Peruvian cotton). RNAcentral describes it as "long non-coding RNA (GRAI_LNC003829)". Lineage: Eukaryota; Viridiplantae; Streptophyta; Magnoliopsida; Malvales; Malvaceae. The record is from RNAcentral.